CCUACGGGAGGCAGCAGUGAGGAAUAUUGGUCAAUGGACGAGAGUCUGAACCAGCCAAGUAGCGUGAAGGAUGACUGCCCUAUGGGUUGUAAACUUCUUUUAUAUGGGAAUAAAACGUUCCACGUGUGGGAUUUUGUAUGUACCAUAUGAAUAAGGAUCGGCUAACUCCGUGCCAGCAGCCGCGGUAAUACGGAGGAUCCGAGCGUUAUCCGGAUUUAUUGGGUUUAAAGGGAGCGUAGGUGGAUUGUUAAGUCAGUUGUGAAAGUUUGCGGCUCAACCGUAAAAUUGCAGUUGAAACUGGCAGUCUUGAGUACAGUAGAGGUGGGCGGAAUUCGUGGUGUAGCGGUGAAAUGCUUAGAUAUCACGAAGAACUCCGAUUGCGAAGGCAGUUCACUGGACUGCAACUGACAUUGAUGCUCGAAAGUGUGGGUAUCAAACAGGAUUAGAUACUCCUGUAGUC
This 460-nucleotide ribosomal RNA is filed under the name uncultured bacterium. Its description in RNAcentral is "partial 16S ribosomal RNA". It matches the Rfam family "Bacterial small subunit ribosomal RNA", at positions 338 to 795 of the family's 1533-position model. The record is from RNAcentral.